CGGGACUUUGACUCUGUUUGACUUCCGGCAUGUGGCGAUGAAUCGCUUAUUCAGACAGGGAGAUGAGGUUUCUUAAAUAUGGAUCAAAGUGUUGAAAUUACUCAAUUACAUUUACAAAAUGAAAACGUUACAGCAAGGCGUUUGUGAGAAAAAUGAAUGAAGAAAUUAAAACAACUUUUUCCACAUUGCAUUACAACUACAUAGCUGACGCUGGAUUGCUAAAUUAGUUUAUUUUCAUUGAAGUAGCAUGGCUAGUUAGCUAGUUAGCAAUAGUCUUCUGUCUAGACUCUAGCCUGUAACUAAUGGUUGUUACGUUGUGGAACAGAGCAAUAGUUAUUUCUACUUGUCAUUAGUUUGAGACUAACAUUAGUUAGAAAAUAAUUGUUUACUUUGUGUAUAUUUGUUGUGUAAUUGGUUGGCGUUGCUAGUUAGCAAGCUGAGAUUGAUUUGCUCAAAUUGGCUAAUUUUGCGAUUAACUAGUGUUUUAAUAAGAGAACAGGCUAGCUCCCUGCACAACCUAGAGUAGAGAAUGUGGAAUAAGAUUUGUCUGUUGCAGUGCCCAGACGAGGUGAGAGCAAACUGCUACAGAGAUAAAAGCCACAACAUCAUAAUCAAGUACUCAAGCAUCUGCAGACCAACGAGGAGGAGGAAGGCUUAUAGAACAUGAAUUACUAGCUCGUUAUAUCAGAGACAUUUUAUUGGCUUGCUAAAUGAGCUGCUUUUCCUGAAAAUGUCUCUGAUAAAACUACACUGUUAGAAAAAAAGGUGCUAUCCAGAACUUAGUUAUUCAGCUGUCCCCAUAGGAUAACUUUUUGAAGAACUCUUGUUGGUUCCAGGUAGAACCCUUGUUGGUUCCAGGUAGAACCCUUUCCACGGAGGGUUCUACAUGGAUCCCAAAAUGGUUAUACCUGGAACCAAAAAGUGUUAUACUAUGGGGACGGCUGAAGAACCCUUUAUUUCUAAGUGUAUCUAGUUGUUGUUCUAUUGCAAUGUCCAUGUUACAUUACAUUACAUUUAACAUUUACAUUUAAGUCAUUUAGCAGACGCUCUUAUCCAGAGCAAACACCAUGCUCUACCAACUGAGCCACAGGGAACUGAGCCACAGGGAACUGAGCCACAGGGAACUGUUGUUAGACACAACUUGAUGAACAGGUAGUCAAGCCCCUGAAGACCAGCGAGGAGGAGAAAAGCCUGCUGUGGAUGAGCAAGCUAGAACAAUAACACCUAGCUAUAUCAGAUAAACAUGUUCAGGAAAAGCAGGGAGCUAGUAGUAGUAACAUUAUUAUUUGAAACCUCACAUGCUCAUAAUCUGUAUCUGUGUUCUAUUUAAGCAAUAAGGCACCUCAGGGGUUUGUGGUAUAUGGACGAUAUACCAGGGCUAAGGGCUGUUCUUAUGCACGACGUAACGCAAAGUGCCUUAUUGCUAUUAAAAACUGCUUACAAACGUAAUUACAACAGUAAACAAGUAGUAUUGACUCAUACCUGUGGUAUACGGUCUGAUAUACCAUGGCUUGCUACAGUAUCUGUCUCAUGUUGUACUGAUCAUCAACAUGAACAAGACUGAAUUCUGUAGAAUUGUCAACUGAUCUAAAUUCUUGUUAGGAAGAUGUUUCUGUUCAGAAUGACAUGUUUAUGACUGUUGAUCACAGGAAUCUCCGAAUGCCAUGUAGAAUGAGCACCAUGGAUGAAAGGAGGGGGAGGAAAACGGACAGCUUCUUUCUACCACACCUUCACCAAGUCAUACAAUGUUUGCUUCAUGAAUAAUUGUUACAUUUGAAUUCAGCCUUUGUAGUUUGGAAAGUAUAGUGACUAUUAUUGCUUCAAUUUAUUUAUCAAACAAAUGUGGGUUUGGAAAAUUAGGUACUUUUCGCAAAACAAUCCCCUCUUCUUUCUACCACACCUUCACCAAGUCAUACAAUGUUUACUUCAUGAAUAAUUGUUACAUCUGAAAUAGAUACAUUAUUAUUUUAGUAUAUUCUGUUUCUAAUGUUUGUUUUUUAAUGCUGGAUGUGAGUAAUUUAGCAGGUCUAUAGUAAUGAUGUAUUGUUUUGGAACAUGUAACUAUCUAUUCAGUCAAAAUUCACUUAUUUUAUGUUUGCUAAAAUGUUUUGUAGUGUUUGUAAUGAGAAUUAAUGAGCUAUUUUCAAAACAUUGGAUUACCAACUUGAGAGGUGCUGUCUCAGUUUGCAUCACAUUGUCACAUGGACGUGUGUGUGUGUAUAUAUAUACACACUGAACAGAAAUAUAAACGCAACAUGUAAAGUGUUGGUCUCAUGUUUCAAGAGCUGAAAUAAAAGAUCCCAG
Molecule: long non-coding RNA, 2304 nt
Filed under: Salmo salar (Atlantic salmon)
Lineage: Eukaryota; Metazoa; Chordata; Actinopteri; Salmoniformes; Salmonidae
Description: lncRNA (ENSSSAG00000085598.1)
Source: RNAcentral